AACGAACGCUGGCGGCAUGCCUAACACAUGCAAGUCGAACGAGACCUUCGGGUCUAGUGGCGCACGGGUGCGUAACGCGUGGGAACCUGCCCUUAGGUUCGGAAUAACUCCCUGAAAGGGGUGCUAAUACCGGAUAAUGUCUUCGGACCAAAGAUUUAUCGCCUUUGGAUGGGCCCGCGUUGGAUUAGCUAGUUGGUAGGGUAAAAGCCUACCAAGGCGACGAUCCAUAGCUGGUCUGAGAGGAUGAUCAGCCACACUGGGACUGAGACACGGCCCAGACUCCUACGGGAGGCAGCAGUGGGGAAUAUUGGACAAUGGGCGAAAGCCUGAUCCAGCAAUGCCGCGUGAGUGAUGAAGGCCUUAGGGUUGUAAAGCUCUUUUACCCGGGAUGAUAAUGACAGUACCGGGAGAAUAAGCACCGGCUAACUCCGUG
Molecule: ribosomal RNA, 433 nt
Filed under: uncultured bacterium
Lineage: Bacteria
Description: partial 16S ribosomal RNA
Rfam family: Bacterial small subunit ribosomal RNA
Source: RNAcentral